RNAcentral lists this unclassified non-coding RNA (527 nucleotides) under Hevea brasiliensis (rubber tree). Lineage: Eukaryota; Viridiplantae; Streptophyta; Magnoliopsida; Malpighiales; Euphorbiaceae. The record is from RNAcentral.
AGGCAAUCAUGGCUUGACCACAAAGCUCGGAGUUUCUUAUCAUACUCAUAACCUGGUCAUAUCUCUUUCUAAGCAAAGCCAGCUUGAAAAUAUAUUCAGUUGAAUCAAUAAUAAUAGGACGGUUCUUCCCAUCUCGAUCCAAGCAAAAAAUAGUGUUCCCAUAUAUCUUAGAAAUGUAGACUGGAACAUCUAAGGUUUUGAUGAUUCCACUAUCGCCAUUGGGAAGACAGUACUUGAUGUGGGUAAGUGUGGUAUAAAUGAAGACCCCGUUGUCAUCCCAGGCACCACUCUUGACACGAAUUGUCUCGUGAAGAGUACAACGGUGCACAAGCUUCUUGUCAGCUAUUACAAUGGAAUGCUUGCUAAGCAAAGCAACACUUUCCAUGUCGGACGACCAAACGACAUACCUGAUGAAAGGAGUCUGCAGCUCUCCAAGAACAAUUCUCUGCUGCAGAUCAAAGAUAACAACUCUGUCCUCUGCCCUGCACAGUAAGUUUCCUGUGCCAGCAUAGAAUAUUGCAUCAGUA